GGGUUAUACAACUUUUGGAAGAAAUUUAUUUUGCAUUGUUUUUAUUAUAAAGCUUCAUGAUUCAACACAUAUAGAGCUCACUGCAAAAUUGACCAUAUCAACACACGACUGAGUAUCAGGAGCUCACAGGUGCUGGCUCUAAUCACCAAUAGUCAUGAAAUCAUGAUGAGUGUAUCAAGAAUUUCAUUUACUAAUAAUCUUGCCUGAAAGCUUGUGGAAUUGGGAAGGCUUUUUUAGUUUGAAUUAAUAUUUAACCUACAUAUGUAUAAAGAACAAAAUCAAAACUGAGGAAUUGAAACUAAAGAGGGCAAUAAUACAUGAAUAAUCAUUUAUUCGGAAUACGAAUACAAGUACAACACAACAUAAUACUAACUGUGAACGAUGGGCGCAGACGCAGUGAUGGUCUGUUCACCUGGAUUCUUCUGCGCUUGGGGUUUGAGAGGACAAGUCCAUUUUCCAGCAUUUCUUGCUUGUACUCCUCGUGCUAUGAACGCCCCAAACAUGGCCCCAAAAACAAACGGAACAACUGGCUUCAUUCUGUUCAUUGAAUUGGUUUAUAAGACUAACAAUCAAGUACUAAAUUGUUUAAGCAAAUAUGGGAUUGCAUAUUUGGGAGGUGGAUAGCAGAGGAUUUAUAGGAUCCGCGUUC
RNAcentral lists this unclassified non-coding RNA (649 nucleotides) under Hevea brasiliensis (rubber tree). The record is from RNAcentral. Lineage: Eukaryota; Viridiplantae; Streptophyta; Magnoliopsida; Malpighiales; Euphorbiaceae.